AUCUGAGUUUGAUCCUGGCUCAGGAUGAACGCUGGCGGCGUGCCUAAUACAUGCAAGUCGAGCGAGGUUCUUCGGAACCUAGCGGCGGACGGGUGAGUAACACGUGGGUAACCUGCCUGUAAGACCGGGAUAACUUCGGGAAACCGAAGCUAAUACCGGAUACUUUCAAGCAUCGCAUGAUGCUUAAUGGAAAGACGGUUUCGGCUGUCACUUACAGAUGGACCCGCGUCGCAUUAGCUAGUUGGUGAGGUAACGGCUCACCAAGGCGACGAUGCGUAGCCGACCUGAGAGGGUGAUCGGCCACACUGGGACUGAGACACGGCCCAGACUCCUACGGGAGGCAGCAGUAGGGAAUCUUCGGCAAUGGGCGAAAGCCUGACCGAGCAACGCCGCGUGAGCGAUGAAGGCCUUCGGGUCGUAAAGCUCUGUUGUUAAGGAAGAACAAGUACGAGAGUAACUGCUCGUACCUUGACGGUACUUAACGAGAAAGCCACGGCUAACUACGUGCCAGCAGCCGCGGUAAUACGUAGGUGGCGAGCGUUAUCCGGAAUUAUUGGGCGUAAAGCGCGCGCAGGCGGUUUCUUAAGUCUGAUGUGAAAGCCCACGGCUCAACCGUGGAGGGUCAUUGGAAACUGGGAAACUUGAGUGCAGAAGAGGAAAGCGGAAUUCCACGUGUAGCGGUGAAAUGCGUAGAGAUGUGGAGGAACACCAGUGGCGAAGGCGGCUUUCUGGUCUGUAACUACGCUAGCGCAAAGCGAC
RNAcentral lists this ribosomal RNA (759 nucleotides) under uncultured bacterium. Its description in RNAcentral is "bacterial SSU rRNA". It matches the Rfam family "Bacterial small subunit ribosomal RNA", at positions 1 to 763 of the family's 1533-position model. The record is from RNAcentral.